RNAcentral lists this ribosomal RNA (501 nucleotides) under uncultured bacterium. RNAcentral describes it as "bacterial SSU rRNA". It matches the Rfam family "Bacterial small subunit ribosomal RNA", at positions 29 to 507 of the family's 1533-position model. The record is from RNAcentral.
AACGAACGCUGGCGGCGUGGAUUAGGCAUGCAAGUCGAACGAGAACGCACCUUCGGGGUGUUAGUACAGUGGCGAACGGGUGAGUAACGCGUGGGAAACCUGCCUUUGAGUGGGGGAUAACAGUCCUAACGGAUUGCUAAUACCGCAUGACGCUGUUGAUCGCAUGGUCAAUAGUUAAAGAUGGCCUCUACAUAUAAGCUGUCGCUCGAAGAUGGUCCCGCGUCCUAUUAGCUUGUUGGUGGGGUAACGGCCUACCAAGGCAGCGAUGGGUAGCCGGCCUGAGAGGGUGGUCGGCCACACUGGGACUGAGAUACGGCCCAGACUCCUACGGGAGGCAGCAGUCGAGAGGCUUCGGCAAUGGGGAAACCCUGACCGAGCGACGUCGCGUGGGUGAUGAAGAUCCUUGGAUCGUAAAACCCUGUCAGGUGGGAUGAAAUGCGAUUUGGUUAACAGCCAAGUCGUUUGACAGUACCACCAGAGGAAGCUCCGGCCAACUCCGUG